UGAGGAAUAUUGGUCAAUGGGCGCGAGCCUGAACCAGCCAAGUAGCGUGCAGGAUGACGGCCCUAUGGGUUGUAAACUGCUUUUGUAUGGGGAUAAAGUCAAUCACGUGUGAUUGUUUGCAGGUACCAUACGAAUAAGGACCGGCUAAUUCCGUGCCAGCAGCCGCGGUAAUACGGAAGGUCCGGGCGUUAUCCGGAUUUAUUGGGUUUAAAGGGAGCGUAGGCCGGAGAUUAAGUGUGUUGUGAAAUGUAGACGCUCAACGUCUGACUUGCAGCGCAUACUGGUUUCCUUGAGUACGCACAACGUUGGCGGAAUUCGUCGUGUAGCGGUGAAAUGCUUAGAUAUGACGAAGAACUCCGAUUGCGAAGGCAGCUGACGGGAGCGCAACUGACGCUUAAGCUCGAAGGUGCGGGUAUCGAACAGGAUUAGAUACCCUGGUAGUCCGCACAGUAAACGAUGGAUGCCCGCUGUUGGUACCUGGUAUCAGCGGCUAAGCGAAAGCAUUAAGCAUCCCACCUGGGGAGUACGCCAGCAACGGU
This 539-nucleotide ribosomal RNA is filed under the name uncultured bacterium. RNAcentral describes it as "bacterial SSU rRNA". It matches the Rfam family "Bacterial small subunit ribosomal RNA", at positions 355 to 895 of the family's 1533-position model. The record is from RNAcentral.